This 2320-nucleotide unclassified non-coding RNA is filed under the name Hevea brasiliensis (rubber tree). The record is from RNAcentral. Lineage: Eukaryota; Viridiplantae; Streptophyta; Magnoliopsida; Malpighiales; Euphorbiaceae.
AAGUCGUAAUCAAAAUGCCACCUUAAAAUCAACAAGUUCAACAACAAAAGUAAAACUCCAAAACCUAAAACAUGACAUAACUAGAUAAUUACUGCAGUAGUAACUACCAGUUUGGUCGAAUGACCUACAGACAACAUCUUAUAGAGACACUGAAAUGACAUAUAACGAGUAGUGCUACCAUGGCGAGAGUAGAGAGUAGGGAGAACAACCGCUCAACAAUCUUCUUCCAACAGCUCCAACUAAAAGCGCUUAUCAGUAGCUAGUGAUCACCAAUCUCCUUAGGCAAGAUGAUUUUCUUUUUGGUGAAGGAAUAAACCUCUUAACUAGCAUAAUUGGACUGGCAAAAGGAAAGCUAAAAGGGAAGAUACGAAUACCAGGAACAGAAAAGGAUACAACUGACUAAUAAUUUCCCUACCCAAUUUUCAUUCCCAAAAAACAGAAAAUUGGUCAAGGGGAAACAACUUCAAGAGGAAGAAGUAGGACAUAUAUCCUAUUCAGAGUUGAGAAGAGAAUACAUACAAAGUUAUGAUGAUGACCAGCCCAUUCAGGCAUUCAAGGAAUAGCAAGGACUUAGAUAUACCAAAUGUCCUAUUUCCUAGUCAAGAAUUUGAAUCUACUAAGAAAUAGAGAUGGUUAGGAUGCAGAAUUGGAUGAAAAGGCUAAGAUCUAGUAACUGAAUAAACCAGAAGUCUAAAGGGAUGCUAAUCUGGUAGGGUCUAAGAUAUAUACAAUAUCUCCGAUUUACAGAACAUCAAAAGAACAUGAAGAGGCAAUAAACAAUCCCACGACACUGGAAUCAAGAAUGACAAUUGAUGGUUAUAACAAAUUCAUCUCCAGGGCAGCAAAGAUAGUUGAGCAACAAGUUACGCAACCUCUACAAAGAACUACAAGCUAUCUAUUACUGUAAUGUAAUAGGAGCAUCUCACUCAUCACUCAGAUUCUUCUUCCACUGUUCGAUGCACAAACAUACUCCAUUUGUUGAACCCCUCAUAGUCUAACCAUGACUGCACGAACUUUGAAUAUACCAGGAGAGUAUCGAUCAACUAGCCAUUGUUCAUAUUGAAUUCCCCUUAAAAUAACCAAUCUUGACAGAUGUUGCAACUUCACUACUGAUCUACCAUGACAAACACUAAGCGAAACAGUAACUUACUAACUAAAAACUGAAUUAUUCACCAUACGAACUAUCUACUAUUACCCAAUACGAAAACUAAAUAAUACCCUAGUUAACUGCUAUUCAGAACUCCCACCACACAUUCAUCCAUCAUUAGUUUCAAGGAGAAUUUGGGCAUUAGUUUCAAGGUUGAGCAUGCGACGAAGAGUCUGUGUCACUGAGUCAGUAUUGUCAAACACAAUUCCCGGAGAAAGACUGCUCUCCCUGGUUGGAGAUGCUGGUGCAGACUUGGCAAUGGGACGUAAAUGAAUAUCACAUGCUGAAGUAGGAAACUCAAGAGAGGCAUUCCUUUUAGGCCUGAGAAAAAAUUUGGGCAUGGGCAAAGAACUAGGAGGAGGAGAAUUUGAAUACGCUGGCCCAGCCCAUAGUUCAGAAAACGGUAACUCAUCAUUCAAGGAACCCUCAUUCCUAGAACCUACAUCCACUUUGAGGUUAAAUGGUAUCGAAACCAUGAAAUUUUGGGCUGUUUUUCCUGAUUUCUUUUGAUCUUCAGAAUGAGACUUGACAGUAUUAACAGGCAGUGAUGUUAAAGGUGGUCGCGUUUUGGGAGAUAAGGAACCCGUGAGGGCCCGUUUGAUGACAGGUUUCUUGCAAGACUUCGAUUUGGUAUGAUAUAAACCUGCCCUGGACUCAAAAGCCCGACAAUUUACCUCCAUGAACCCACCAGAGGGAGGUGAACCAAAUGACCCAAAUCGAGUAGGGCCAUGUGCCCUACUUUCCAAAUAGUUUUGAUCCCGAUGCUGAGGAACAACAAUCAUUUUCAACAGAGCCAAUAACCGAUUCGAUCAAAUUCCACUAUAACUCACUAUCUGAUCGACAAGCCUGAAAAUCUAAGCAGAAACAACAGUGUUCAAAGAUCCAUACUGCUGAAUGACUGUAGAUCCUAAAAAUUUUCUCAAACAAUAGGUUACCAGGAAAUCAAAAUAACUAUCACUGAAUCCAAACUAUUCUUCAACACGCACGUCUAUGAAAAAUAUAUCCACAAUCACCACUCCACCCUUCAGUUUCUUCAACAAAAAACAAGCAAAAAGAAAAAGACAUCAGUCAAGUUACAUGAGAUCAAACAAAUCAAUAACUCAAAAUGGAAACACCCAGAACAAAAAGUGCAAAAAAAGUCUAGCAUCAUAUAAUACAAUUUCAGGGUUAAAU